GGGGCUGUGGCAUAUCGGGUGAAGCAGCAGCCUGCAGUGCUGGUGUCCCCUAUGGGCUCUGGUUCAAGUCCUGGCUGCUCCU
RNAcentral lists this transfer RNA (82 nucleotides) under Oryctolagus cuniculus (rabbit). It matches the Rfam family "tRNA". Rfam says of the family: Transfer RNA (tRNA) molecules are approximately 80 nucleotides in length. Their secondary structure includes four short double-helical elements and three loops (D, anti-codon, and T loops). Lineage: Eukaryota; Metazoa; Chordata; Mammalia; Lagomorpha; Leporidae. The record is from Rfam by way of RNAcentral.